UACUUUAAGGGCACUGGGAUCCCCAUUC
RNAcentral lists this non-coding RNA (28 nucleotides) under Mus musculus (house mouse). Lineage: Eukaryota; Metazoa; Chordata; Mammalia; Rodentia; Muridae. The record is from RNAcentral.